This 233-nucleotide ribosomal RNA is filed under the name uncultured bacterium. RNAcentral describes it as "partial 16S ribosomal RNA". It matches the Rfam family "Bacterial small subunit ribosomal RNA", at positions 118 to 351 of the family's 1533-position model. The record is from RNAcentral.
UGAGUAACCUGCCCUAGGCUUUGGGAUAACCCUCGGAAACGGGGGCUAAUACUGGAUAUUCCCGCGGGAUCGCAUGGUUUUGUGGGGAAAGGUUUUCCGGCUUGGGAUGGGCUCGCGGCCUAUCAGCUUGUUGGUGGGGUGAUGGCCUACCAAGGCGACGACUGGUAGCCGGCCUGAGAGGGCGACCGGCCACACUGGGAUUGAGACACGGCCCAGACUCCUACGGGAGGCAG